GUAGAGCCGGCCAAACGGGCGGUUUGGCUCGGCCCGAACCGGCCCGAACCGUUACGUAACCCGUAUUUUAACGUGCCGGGUACGAACCGGCACGAACCGGCACAAACCGUAAUUACCUGCGUGCCGGUAACGGUUCUCGUUUGUUAGAUUCGAAACCGCCAGGAACCGGCCCGUUAAAACCGUCAGAAACCGUCUGAAACCGUUGAACCGAUGAACCGCGUUGAACCGCUGAAACCGUUGAACCGCUGAAACCGUCUGGACCGUUGAACCGCUGAACCCGUCUAAACCCGUUGGAACCGCUUGAACCGAAACCGUCUAAACCCGUUGGAACCGUCUAAGCCCGUGAAGGCCGUUUAACCGGGAAAAAAACGAGCCGUUGCCAACGUUCACCUGCAACUUUCACCUGCAGGCUGCAACUCUGCAACAAGGCUGCUGUACUGCUGUCUCUGAGCUUACUGGCACGGGCAAACAAACGGCUACAAUGCCGUUGGNAAAACGAGCCGUUGCCUGUGUAUCCAACGUUCACCUGCAACUCUUUCACCUGCAGGCUGCAACUCUGCAACAAGGCUGCUGUAGUGCUGUGGAGUCCUCUGCUGCCUCUGAGCUUACUGGCACGGGCAAACAAACGGCUACAAUGCCGUUGGAGACACCGAAGGAGCCGUUGGAGGCUUCCUUAUAAAUACCGUCCCAGGCUCCCAGCUCAGUCACCUCACUGUCUUACUCCAUCUCAUUCUAAAUUCCACUCUCUCAAGCUUAUAAAUACUCUUACUUCAAGUCUGAAUNCAUCUCAUUCUAAAUUCCACUCUCUCAAGCUUAUAAACACUCUUACUUCAAGUCUGAAUUCAAGCAAGCUGCUCAAGUUUUUCCGGCCUCAAUUCAAGCUUUUCCGGCGUGGUUUUAAUAUUUUCAGUUAAUAUUUUCUGUUGUUAAUUAUGGAAGGUCGAGGUACAAUAUCCUCUCAAGAUUCCACUCAAAGUCCGA
RNAcentral lists this long non-coding RNA (981 nucleotides) under Daucus carota (carrot). RNAcentral's name for it is "long non-coding RNA (DCAR_LNC000843)". The record is from RNAcentral. Lineage: Eukaryota; Viridiplantae; Streptophyta; Magnoliopsida; Apiales; Apiaceae.